UGGCGGCGUGCCUAAUACAUGCAAGUCGAGCGAAUGGAUUAAGAGCUUGCUCUUAUGAAGUUAGCGGCGGACGGGUGAGUAACACGUGGGUAACCUGCCCAUAAGACUGGGAUAACUCCGGGAAACCGGGGCUAAUACCGGAUAACAUUUUGCACCGCAUGGUGCGAAAUUCAAAGGCGGCUUCGGCUGUCACUUAUGGAUGGACCCGCGUCGCAUUAGCUAGUUGGUGAGGUAACGGCUCACCAAGGCAACGAUGCGUAGCCGACCUGAGAGGGUGAUCGGCCACACUGGGACUGAGACACGGCCCAGACUCCUACGGGAGGCAGCAGUAGGGAAUCUUCCGCAAUGGACGAAAGUCUGACGGAGCAACGCCGCGUGAGUGAUGAAGGCUUUCGGGUCGUAAAACUCUGUUGUUAGGGAAGAACAAGUGCUAGUUGAAUAAGCUGGCACCUUGACGGUACCUAACCAGAAAGCCACGGCUAACUACGUGCCAGC
RNAcentral lists this ribosomal RNA (495 nucleotides) under marine sediment bacterium ISA-7268. RNAcentral describes it as "bacterial SSU rRNA". It matches the Rfam family "Bacterial small subunit ribosomal RNA", at positions 37 to 512 of the family's 1533-position model. The record is from RNAcentral.